This 468-nucleotide ribosomal RNA is filed under the name uncultured bacterium. RNAcentral describes it as "partial 16S ribosomal RNA". It matches the Rfam family "Bacterial small subunit ribosomal RNA", at positions 28 to 507 of the family's 1533-position model. The record is from RNAcentral.
GACGAACGCUGGCGGCGUGCUUAACACAUGCAAGUCGAACGGAAAGGCCCUGCUUUUGUGGGGUGCUCGAGUGGCGAACGGGUGAGUAACACGUGAGUAACCUGCCCUUUACUUUGGGAUAACUUCAGGAAACUGGGGCUAAUACCGGAUAGGAGCUCCUGCUGCAUGGUGGGGGUUGGAAAGUUUCGGCGGUUGGGGAUGGACUCGCAGCUUAUCAGCUUGUUGGUGGGGUAGUGGCUUACCAAGGCUUUGACGGGUAGCCGGCCUUCGAGGUUGACCGGCCACAUUGGGACUGAGAUACGGCCCAGACUCAUACGGGAGGCAGCAGUGGGGAAUAUUGCACAAAGGGCGGAAGCCUGAUGCAGCAACGCCGCGUGCGGGAUGACGGCCUUCGGGUUGUAAACCGCUUUCGCCUGUGACGAAGAGUGAGUGACGGUAAUGGGUAAAGAAGCACCGGCUAACUACGUG